UGCUAAGGUUUCGGUGAAGUUUUAAAAAUGCCAGUAAUAAACUCGUUGCAAAAUUGAUGAAAACACAGCUUUUAAAGAAUAAUUUAUCAAUUUAAACUAAUUUAGUGUCUCUCUUUAGAUUCCCUUUAAGAGAAAAUACUUUCUAAGCCCUGCAUUCUUGGAGCGGUCUGUAUCGCUUGUUUUGAAAUGUGUCUGGCACCGUGCAACCUUUUUUUUGGCACCACUUGGGUCACACUUGGCAAGCUACUUUAUAAGUGGCUAGACCUCAAGCCCCUGCUGUGGUUACUGUCAUGACAACAUUAAAGUUUUGAGGGAGAGAAGAUAAUGUUUAGAGAAUAAUAGUGCACAGCUAUUGGUAAAAAUUAAACCCAGAAACACAACAUAAAAUAAAGGAGCUUGCAUGUCAUCUGCUUUUGUUAGCAUAGAAUGAAGAGGUCCUUUUAACAUUGAACCAGUAAACAAAGUGCACGGAUUACCUGAAUUAUGUAUAAUUAUCAGGGCUGCUUUCAUUGAAAUUGCAGUGAUGCAUGCACUUAGUUAUAGCUUUAUUGUGCCAUUCUUGACUAUAUGAAAUAUAUUUCGCAGCACAGUCUAUCUGAAGCACUGGUAGAGAAGUCAAAAGCUUCCCCCCUAUGUUGCAUGCAGGCUUACUGGCAUAGUCAUGCUUUUACGAGUUUCUUUUGUGGACUGCAGAACACAGAACAACGGUCCUGUUGACAUAGAGUAGCUAGUCUUUUCUUGGAACUGAGUGCAAGCUCCACACCUAACUCCUUCACUGUCACAUAAUUGCACGCUCGUACGAGACUCUUGCAGCUGUUCCUAGUGCGUGCCUUGUAUUGCGUGACGUCAAUAGUGAAAUGCGCAGGUGGUUCCCCACAGGUGUUUUUGAAGCAUGUCAUGUGCUCCUUGUUUUUGUGCAAGACAUUUUGCAGCAGCCAUAUGCACAUCUCCAAUGGAUUUUUAAAAAAAGAAGAGGAAGAAAAGAAACUGCUAGUACAAAACAGCUUUGCAGUGUGCACAGAUGAGACAGAACAUAGGAACACGAAUAGAAUGAACGCAUUUCUUUUCUACUUUUUUCAUCCUUUUGCCAUAAUCUGUGGUUUACACUUAGAAGAAAUGUGUAAUUAGAAUUCGAGCCCUAAUUACAGCUGAAAUUAAAUACGAAGGCCUGAGGACUAAACUUUUUUUUAGUUUCUCUUUUUCGCUUAGAGAAAGCUUUUGUCUUGCCCCUUCUUAAUCAAAUACAUGCAGUGUGCAUAAUAUAUGCUUUCACUAAGCAACUGCUGAACCAGUUAAAAUAACAUUUGUGAAAUAAUAAAGACAAAAGUCAAAUUAUAGCAACUUUCACGAGUACAAGUUUGAACGAAAGUCGAGGUUAACACCUCUGUAACUUGAAACAAAAGCUGGCAUCAAAAUUCUACAAACCACAAUUGAUAAAGUAUUUAAAGAGGACAAAAUCAACAAGCUAAUUUGCAGUUCAUGUUAAAUGCUGACUUAUUUGUGCAGAAGUCUUGCAUGCCCACCUUAAAGGCCAACUGCAACAAAAUUUUGGGCUGCAUAAAAAGCCUAUUUUCAUAUAGCGUAGAUAGAGAGCAGCUUCUGGGCAAAAUUUUAAGUUUGAAAUGCGAGUGGGUGCCUCGAGAAAGGCUCACAGAUAUUGAAGCUGUUGAUACCGAAACUGAAAAAUAAAGAAUAAUGCCACCAUUACCGCUUGGCUGAAAAUGACUCGUGACUCGGACUGUGGGGCUCCUCACCGCGACCUCCUAGAUGGGGCAUUGCCUGCCGCUGCUCAUGGUGCACUGAAAAAUCUUGGAGGCGACGUGCUGGCAGUUACGUUGUAUCUUCUAGCCACCGGGUGGCAUGCGUCGUCUGCUUAGGAGCCAUGUAAAGGCUGCUAAUAAGAAAAUUUGGCAAUUACCAGCCUUGCAGCUAUGCUGAAAUUGCUUCAGUAGUGCAUACUACUAAUUUAGUUCCACCAAUUCAUAGCCAACGUGAAAUUUCAUUGUAGUUGUCCUUUAAAUCGUAUAACUAGCGCAUUCUAUAUAUGAUUUUGAUGCUUUAUUGCAGCAUUAUCAUUUUUAGCCUGAUGUUUCUAUUUGUCUUAUUUUUGUCAUCGUUUAACAAUUUUUCUUUAAAGAAAUACAACUUAAAUCAAAAUCUUUUCCAAACAGCCACUAGGGUUUGACUUUUUUUCCUCUAGAUAUGUAACAAAUUUCGUGCUAAUUGGUUCUAUGGUUGCUUAAUGACUGCAUUUCUGCAUAUAUUUGAAAAGGAAGGAUGUUUUAAUGUUUGACACUUAACCUAAUGCACCCUAUCUACAAUUCUUGCCCACAAGAAUGGCCUGAACCUAGAGCUAAUUUCGCACUAGUACUCACCCUUAAUGGUGUGUAUUGCAUUUUGUCUAUUUCAUAACCGUUAAAUUUGCCUAGCUUGGCAUUCAGUAGUAUAUAAAACACAUUUACCUCAUGUUCUGGAAUUUGUCAGUGUGCUGUAUCAAUGUUGUAGCAGUUGAUACUUGGUGGCACACAUUCAGCAUUACUGCUGACAAACCCUGAUAAGCAAUGUUUGAUUUCGGCCAUAGACGUCAGGAACAUGCAUUAGUUUGCUAUUGCCAAUUCUCAGUCAUAAGCUCUGCUGCAUGAUUUGGCAAUGCAGUUCACUACCGUAAGGAAAAUUUGCACGUCCUAGCCUUCUUGGAUUUUUUGCUCUUGCCUCAUAUGUGGGGAAGGCCCUUCCAAGUUCCUUGUUUUGUUUCACCCUUGUUAAUGUCCUCUUUUCUCGUACGUGAAUGACUGGCUUCCUGGAUUACAGAGUCCGCUGUCAAUGUUAUCUCUCGGUGGUCACACGUUGCUGCAGUUCUCGAGUUGGAUAAUAUUCAUUACACCCAGUGCGAUAGUGGCAGGCUGUUAAUUAUUGCCAGUUAAUGGGGCAGAAAUGUUGUGAGUGUCCCUCAACAGUGUGUGAUAACACCAGAAUGCCAUAAAUUUUUGGUUGGGGUUUUUUCAUAACUACAAUGCUAUUUCAGCACUAUUUGUACACUCUUGAGCUGUUCGCAAGAGUAACAGUGAAGGUGCGGCUAUACAUUCAAAUGUGUAUCGCUCUACUUUGAAUGUCACUUGUAACUAUAGAAAGUUGCUGGAUAAGAAAGAUCAGGCUGUUUUUAAAGCAUUUUGUGUUAUGAAUGAGAGUGGAAAGACAUUACACAGAUAUGGCUAAGGCUUGAUGUGAUGAUCAAGUCUUCAGUGCCUUGUCCUAAGUGGGCAUGCUUACGCAACAUGCGAGUGCCCCGAUAACCGGCAGAUUCAGUCUCUUUUUGAAGUUUCUCAGACAAAUUUGAUGAAUGUUGCAUUUUUUAAAAACAUAAUGCAGGCAUGUCCUCUCGUGCACGCGCAUGUUACUUUCAACCUUGCUUGUAGGCAGUCUUGGUGCCUUGCUUUUUGCAUGUCCUCUCUAGUCAUUUGCAGAAGAGUUGUGUAUGAUUCAUUCCAGGUAAAUUAUUUCGGAAAUUCCUUCAGUAUAAGUGUGUGGUAUACCACAGAAAUGUUAUCUCGGACUGCAACAGAAGCUGCAACGCACAGAAAUGAAUGCCCAUAAUGUAGUUACGUGAGCCAUCAGCAACCACGAAUAUUACUGUGAACAUUAAAACAAAAAUUAAACAUUUGCAAGUGAAUCCCAAUUUUGCAGGACUUGCCAUUUAUGCGACUAAUGGCUGGUUCCCAGAAGCGUUCAGGAGUGGGCAAGAAAGGAACUCUUGCAGUCAGCUAGUUGUUUGUUGACAAAAGAGCACCCAGGGCCGGUAUAAUGUAGCAAUUUCUUCUGCUCGAUUUUGCGCCAUUCUUAUCACCCAUCAUGCGCAGCCCACUGAUGACGUUAAUGACAGGAGGGGGGGAGCUUGAGAAGGAACAGCAUUGGAAUACAAUCGUUACAUUAUCCCGGCCUUGAAUUGUCUCGUGCCUGCUUCUUGAACACGCACAACUGGACUGUCAGUGUCCAGUGAUGCAGGGGCGGGCAGUUUUUUUCAUGUUUUUGCUGUGUGCAUGGAGAUGCUAUCACAAGUACCAAUCUCAGGAAUCUCUUGUACCUUGCACUCUCCCUCAUUUUUGUAUUGAGAGUCUGUAUUUUCUCUGCACCAGACAACUACAACCCGACUGGAUGUAUAUGAGGCUUUAUUGUUCAGAGCCGGCGCCACUCUCUUUCCUUGAGGGAUAAUGUAUUUUUUAAAACUGAACAGAUGCACCCUGCAGAAGCAAACAAGGCGGCCUUGUUCACAACAGUGCCGUAAGACAGUGCAAGGCUGCUUACAAAAUUUAAAACAGCAGGCCCCCUCUCCUCAAAAGAGAACAGGCUUGAUGUAAUGCAUAAUUUGUAGAUACAAGCUUGACUUGGGUAACCAGAAUGCAAGAAAUUGACAUUUGUGGCUUUCAUGGCUCUGAAACCUUGCACAAACAGUUGUACGCACUGAUCUUAGGCUAAUUUCAAAACGCCAUAACACUAACAAGUGCAUAACCUCUAGUUGGACUUACCUAGAGCAUAAAGUGGUUCUGAGAAACUUGCUGGAGGCACAAGGCUGUGUUUCUUAUUUUUCUAUAAGCCGUAUAGUGCCAAUUCCGGAGUUCUUGUUGCUUCACUGCAGUAAGGGUAGGCAGGGGUGCGCAGCUUGAACAAGCAGGCACUUGGUUUUGCCUCUGCAGGCUCCAAACCAUUUCGUGUUGAAUAUGUUAGUCACAGAGUCCUUUUGUGUAUUAAGGCUGUACUCUCACGUGUGCACAUUACUAACUGCUUCCAUCUCGCAGGGGCAACUUUUGCUUUUUGCUGUAUUUGGAAGAACUUGCCUGACAAGCUGCCUUUAAAUUUUCACCAAAGAUAUUUUGCAGUUUUCUUUUAAUGUGAACAACAAGUGUCCACUGAAAAAGUGUGCACAUUUCCCAACUGUUUUUAUUCUUUUACAAAAUACUCAACUUGUUUUAGUGUCACAUUUUACAUAAUGUUUGUUGGCAUUCUUAUGUGUAAGCACUGUUCACCAAUAUCUGCAUAUUCAAAUUGUGUACAGUGCUGUGCAUCAUGAUAAAGUAGUGUGGCUUUCCUUUGAAUAACUUUGUGGAUCUAGUACUGGCAUAGCUUCCUGCUCAUAAUUACUGGUUCCUGCUGUUUCUGAUGCUCUUUGGAGGCCACAGCAUUUUUCGCCACAUUGUUUCCACCAACUCUUCCACGUCUGUCAAAACGCUCGAAAUUUAGAAAAUGUUUAAAGGAAUUAAUGCUAAAGGCAGACAUUGGAUGAAUUUAGGAUGUUAGGUCAACCUUAUAGGAGCCUUGCAACGCUUGUUUGAAGCCGAGAGGUGACUUGGCUUUGAACAAACUGCAGAGAAAAUCUCAAGCCAAGGAUCCACACAAUUCUGCAGUUGAGGUCACUUGCUAUGAAGGGGUCUUUUGUGGAAGUAUCCUAAGCUAUGCCAAUGAUCUUGGAGGACAUGCUCUGUGUGGCACUGCAGCCUACUUGCGAGUCACAGGCAGAGGGUGCCAUAAGCUGAAAUGAAGCAUCUUAAGCCCAUAGUAGCAUAGGUGAUUUGCAAGCAGGGGCAAGUGCAGUCAUAUUGGCCAAGCUGCAUUUUCUCUCUUGUUAAAGUGAAACAUUGUUAAUUCACAAUGCAAUACAGUUGCUUAUUAUCGGCAACUGGCUGAAAUUUACCAUUUAUAAGCAGCACGCAUUGCAGCGUGGGUGUCACAUAUUUUUUGCAAUGGCAUCGCCAGGCCUGGUCAACAUCACUGUUGUGUUUUCACUUGCAGAAGCUCUUUUGUCAGCAACAGUGACACUUUGGGUACCUUGGAAUGCCCUAUUGUAUAGCAUUAACUCGAUUUAAUGCUUGCCCUUUGUGUUUCUUUAAGCACCAACUACGUAGAACAUACUUAUGACGUGGUGUUGACAUGCCAGUUCCAGAGUGAAUCAGGUGCAGCCCGUUCUGCUUAGAAUUAAAAAGCUCACAUUGUACAGUGUGAAAUGGUCAUUUCAACUUCAGGCAGUGCUACAUCGAAAAUACGUUGGAACGGUUUUUCACACGGUUAUCACUUGAGAGCUCACAAAGGAGAGUGUUUACUGCAAGCUCACUCAUUAUGCAUUACAAAAGCUGGCACCAACUGCACAUGUAUUCUUCCUGCUGCACAUUUGUGGUUUUGCUUCUAAUAAUGCCACUUCGAAAAGUGUAUCACCUUUUGGAAGAAGAAAAAAAAAGUGAAGGCACACAUUUAUGCUCGUACAAUCUGUGUUAUGCGUCUUUCAAGCCGGCAAGUGGUGCACGUGAAACACUCAUCAAAUGCAUGCUCUAUUUUACAAAAAAAUAUUUGUGGUCUCUUUCACCUGUUCUAUGCAGUGCAUGAAUAUGUGGAAUCGUUUUCAUUGCUGUUUUGUGCACAAUGUGUUAAAGUGCACUAUGAAAAGGGCAAGUUGCUAAAGUCCACUAUACGUUUUGUGGUUUGCUUUUUAAAUUUAUCUUUCUAUGCUUCGGUCAUACCAAUCUUGCCAUUUUAUAACUGACACAGUUGGGAGACUGUUGUUAUUCCAGUUUGCCGUUGUUUUUUUUUUUUUGGCCGCGAAGGCAUAGCCAAUUCUAGAAUGUUUCAAAUGUGCCACUUUUGUUUAAAACAUUGCUGGUAUGUGUAUCUGCUGCUCAGUCGCAGCAGCAAGGGCAUCCCUUGUUAUUAGCCCAUUUUGCUUUUUGCUUUGACAAGGCGUAAUGUGGUUGAUGGAAUACCUUAAAGGAAACCUGUUGCAUGUCACUUGCUUGAAUAUGUUGGCUUGCAGGACCAGGCAUGUAGCACUUCUUGUUUUUUGUUUGUUUUCUUUACUGGUGUUUGUGGCAGGCUGGAGAAGCUCCCAAGACUAGCUGGCAAAAGUGGAUUUAUUCGUAGCUGGCGUAAAUAAAGAAAGCAGCAAACUAAGAAUUACUACCCCAUCUAACAGUAUGCAAUGUGGCACCAUUAUGCAGAUGCCUUCAAAAUAUUAUGCUGCUAGAUGUGCAUCCUGGAAUAAAUCAGCGUUGCUUUGACUAUGGAUGAAAAAUAGUGAUUGCAUUACACAGCAUUUCAGCUUGUCUGAAAGUUCUUGUAUUCUACCAAGUUGUGGGGCUGAUGUCAUGUAAUGAAUGGCGGCACAGUAGAAAGCCAUAGGAAAGAGAAUGUGCAUGGAACUGUAGUUUUCUCACGGAGAAAGAGAAACAAAAUUGUUUCUGCCUGUGUAUUUUGAGUUCUCCAGACUUGUCAAACACAGUAAUAAUUUAUAUGGGAAGGGAUCGAUGUGUGUCACCUGGCAGUAGCAUCGUCAAAGCUGGCUUUGAACAUGUCUUUUUUUUUUUCUUUGAAUGAAUGAUGUGUGUGCAGUGAAUAAAGAUCCUCGCAAAAUAUA
This 7396-nucleotide long non-coding RNA is filed under the name Dermacentor andersoni. RNAcentral describes it as "uncharacterized LOC126540159". Lineage: Eukaryota; Metazoa; Arthropoda; Arachnida; Ixodida; Ixodidae. The record is from RNAcentral.